GAUGAACGCUAGCGGCAGGCCUAGCACAUGCAAGUCGAGGGGUAACUAGAGUGAUAGCAAUAUUACUUUGGCUAGACCGGCGCACGGGUGCGUAACACGUAUGCAACCUACCUUAUACUGGGGAAUAACUUCGAGAAAUCGGCGCUAAUACCCCAUAACACUGCGGAGAGGCAUCUCUUUGCAGUUAAAGCUCCGGCGGUAUAAGAUGGGCAUGCGUCCAAUUAGCUAGUUGGUGAGGUAACGGCGCACCAAGGCUACGAUUGGUAGGGGUUCUAGCAGGAUCAUCCCCCACGCUGGUACUGAGACACGGACCAGACUCCUACUGGAGUCAGCAGUGAGGAAUAUUGCGAAAUGGACGAAAGUCUGACGCAGCCAUGCCGCGUGCAGGAUGACGGCCCUAUGGGUUGUAAACUGCUUUUGUACGGGAAUAAACCCUUCUACGUGUAGGAGGCUGAAGGUACCGUAAGAAUAAGCACCGGCUAACUCCGUGCCAGCCGCCGCCGUAA
This 506-nucleotide ribosomal RNA is filed under the name uncultured bacterium. RNAcentral describes it as "partial 16S ribosomal RNA". It matches the Rfam family "Bacterial small subunit ribosomal RNA", at positions 28 to 523 of the family's 1533-position model. The record is from RNAcentral.